GCAGCCGCCGCGGUAAUACGUAGGGUGCAAGCGUUAAUCGGAAUUACUGGGCGUAAAGCGUGCGCAGGCGGUUAUAUAAGACAGAUGUGAAAUCCCCGGGCUCAACCUGGGAACUGCAUUUGUGACUGUAUAGCUAGAGUACGGCAGAGGGGGAUGGAAUUCCGCGUGUAGCAGUGAAAUGCGUAGAUAUGCGGAGGAACACCGAUGGCGAAGGCAAUCCCCUGGGCCUGUACUGACGCUCAUGCACGAAAGCGUGGGGAGCAAACAGGAUUAGAUACCCCCGUAGUCCCUGUCUCUUAUAC
This 302-nucleotide ribosomal RNA is filed under the name uncultured bacterium. RNAcentral describes it as "partial 16S ribosomal RNA". It matches the Rfam family "Bacterial small subunit ribosomal RNA", at positions 508 to 807 of the family's 1533-position model. The record is from RNAcentral.